Molecule: ribosomal RNA, 471 nt
Filed under: uncultured bacterium
Lineage: Bacteria
Description: partial 16S ribosomal RNA
Rfam family: Bacterial small subunit ribosomal RNA
Source: RNAcentral
GACGAACGCUGGCGGCGUGCUUAACACAUGCAAGUCGAACGAUGAAGCCUAGCUUGCUCGGUGGUUUAGUGGCGAACGGGUGAGUAAUACGUGAGUAACUUACCUUUAACUCUGGGAUAAGCCUGGGAAACGGGGUCUAUUACCGGAUACGACCAAUCUCCGAAUGGGGUGUUGGUGGGAAGCGCUAUGUGGUGGUUAUAGAUGGUUUCAGGGCCUAUCAGCUUGUUGGUGAGGUAACGGCUCACCAACGCGACGACGGGUAGCCGGCCUGGGAGGGUGAACAGCCACCCUGGGACUGAGACAGGGACCAGAGUCGUACGUGAGGCAACGGUGGAGAGUCUUACCCAAUGAGCGCGAGCGUGAUACAACGACGCCGGGUGUGUGAUGACGGCCUUCGGGUUGUAAACCGCUGUUAGCAAGUAAGAAGAGAUAUUGACGGUACCUGCAGAGAAAGCGCCGGCUAACUACGUG